GAGUGGUUCAGCUCCUUUCUCUCUCCUGCCUCUCAAAAAGAUGCUAUUCCUGUGAUUAAAACCAUUACAGUGCUUCAAAGGUUAUACAUGACUUUCAGGCUUCAACCUCAAUAGAAGCAGAUGGUACUAAUUUGAACACAUCAUUCCAUGCUUCCUGGAGUAAUCACACAGCUUGCUUAGAUUUUCUAAACAUGACUGAACUGUGAUGAAGCGAUCAACAUUAACUGCCAAGACUCCACAUAGCAAUGAUGUGCUGGCCACCCACUGGGAAAACACCUGUCACCCCUUGAUGGACCUUUCUGACACUGUUUGCCUGUCCUCAAAAGUUCCUGGUAAUCUACUCCAGUACUCUCCAAUACAUACAGAAUAUCGGAAUUACCUAGAGAGAUUCUUAAGUGCAUGGAUUCUUAAGCUUCACUCAUUGAGGCUAUGAGUCAGCAAGUCUGGGAUGAAGUCCAGAAAUGCCAUUAAAGGCUUUAAUAAAGAAGGCACAUUUAAGCUGGGCUUUUAAAAAUGAAUAAAAUUUUAUGUGUCAUAGAAAGGGAAAAUAAUAAUACAGUUAAAGGAAGCAAAGCAAUCUGAUGAUGAAAAAUGGUUGGAUAUGUUUAAAGAAGAGAAUCUAGUCAAUUAUUAGUUCAUACUAGAUGUUUAAUAAAUGUUUUCUGAGUUAAAAUACUGAAAUAGUGAAAUAGCAUGCUAAAUAAAUGAAGUUUGGCUGGAGACAUCAGCUAUAUGAGAAGAUACAAUAAAAGGAUAUAAGAAUAAAAAGCUAGAGAGAAGCCAAAUUCUAAUUAGCGAUGGAUUCUGGGAUAUUUUCUAGACAAUGAGAAUGAGCAAAAUAUUUGGAGUAUUUUAACCCAUCUCCUACACAUGGUGCCUUUCAUUAUUACUUCUGUGCUUCAGGUACCCAACUUGACACGUCUAAACUUUAUUGUUCAGAUAUUACAUUUCACCUGCCAAUGUAUAAAUGGUCUAAUUGUAUGUUAGAACCAAUUCAAUUAAGUGAGUAGGAGGAAAGAUGAGACUUAUGGGUAGGCUAAAGUAGUGUGGGUGAUAAGGCUAGUUAAGAUGUUAUUACAGGAAGCAACAAGGUCCCUCUAAUAUACAAUGGUGGUGGCCAAGGUGGAGAAGGGGCAAAUUGCAGAGCCCUGAUGGAAAUUGAAUUGAUAAGACCUGAUUGUAUGUAGAAGAGAUGGAGUAAGGAAUUGUAUAAAACUAUGAGGCUUGGGGUCCAAUGGAUUGUCAAGAACAGGCAUAGAAAACUAAGAAAAAGACAGUGAUUUCAUGUAACACAAAUUCCAUUUCAUAUAUAUUUGGAGUUGAUACUCCAACUAGGUCUUCAGUUGGGAUUUUUCAACAAUUUGGGUGAAUGUGCAAGAAAAAGAGAAAGAGGAUAAAUGCAGGAGAUAUUAGAAUAAAUUGAUGGGGUAAUAUCCUAGAGAAGACAUAAGAUUAAAAUGAAAAUGAACAGCUAGAUCCCUGAAAGAGGAAGGCAAGGACUUCCUAAGAGAAGAUAUCUGGAGGGCAUAAAUAAAGACAUGGAUAAAUUUUGAUGGAAGGAGGGCCUAUCAAUAUAUUUGAUAUUAUUAGUAAAAUAACAAUAAAUAUGGAUGAUGGGGGAACAGACUAGGUUCAGAAAGAGAACAAUUUUCAUAUGGAAUAGAGAGUAUUCCUAUGAACAUAUUUCCUAUGAAGAAUAAACAAGGGAUACAUAGAAAAUUUUGGAGCAGCUGGGACAAUUAAGGACGAUGAAUUUAUAGACAAACAAAGUAGAAUCAUUUCUAUUUUUUCCUAGAAAUAUUUACCAGUCAGCAUCUUGGAAAAAACAAAUAAUGGGGCCUUCUCAGAGUGAGGAAGCUUCCUGGAGGGUAAGUCACAAUGACAUGGUAUGAGAUCUAAGGAGCAAAGAGAUGGUGUUGUUGAAAUGUAACUAUUCCAUCCUGGAAAGGGAAACACCGUAGUCUGAAAAAAUGUUGCACUGGAAGAAUGAGAAGGAAAGGAUGUGGAGUUAGAUGCUGAAAUCAGAGAGAAGGCAGACUAUGUCUUGAUGUUCUAGGUUUACAGCCUCAAGACGGCUUGAAAGACGUUUCCAAGAUAAAGGGUCUGGAUGUGCCAGAAGUUAACAAUUAUUGCCAAUAUCUACAGUGAAGUGGUGUUAUCAGGAAAGAAACAGGUUUUAAUUUAUAUAAGCAGGUAGAAUAUGGAAGAAAAUAGGAUGAAGGAUAUUAUGAUACAGGACAGAGCACUGCUAGGGAAGGUGAGAAUUUCGUCUUGUGGACUAAAGCUUAACGACCCGGAUAUUUUAUUCAAAUAACAUGAAAGAUAAAGGCUGGUAUAAAGGGGAGAAAAUAGAUGAAAAUGAGUCUGAUACUGCAACCAUAUAGUUCAGGAAAACAUCUAGAAUUCCAUAAAAACAAGUAAGACUAAAAAGAGAUAUACAUGAAAGGUUUACAUGUUUAUUUCUUCUUUUAAAUCACAAUAAAGCAUAAUUCAUUAGGUGGGGGUUUUAUAUUUGUGGAAAUACAGUAAAGAGGAUCAUCUCUCUUUUUUUCCUCCCUUCAAUCUCCCAAUGUUUUGGAGAAGGGUCAAUGUAGUACACAGCUGGUACUCAAGCAACACGUGGGAUAAAAAGCCUGUGUUGUAUUUUUUAAUAUGUGCUUUGUAUGUUUAGAUAAGUAUGCUAUAAAGAUUGCAGGUGGUAUUGACACAAUCCCCAAAUAGUUAAAGGUUUCAUGUUAGUUACCUGUUUCACGUU
RNAcentral lists this long non-coding RNA (2755 nucleotides) under Homo sapiens (human). RNAcentral's name for it is "HSALNT0369399". The record is from RNAcentral. Lineage: Eukaryota; Metazoa; Chordata; Mammalia; Primates; Hominidae.